Long non-coding RNA from Zingiber officinale, 1235 nucleotides. RefSeq lists it as uncharacterized. The record is from RefSeq and is a predicted model, not a curated record. Lineage: Eukaryota; Viridiplantae; Streptophyta; Magnoliopsida; Zingiberales; Zingiberaceae. The transcript is spliced from 2 exons.
UCAGUUUACUCAGAGAGACGGAUCAACGAGGGAAAGGAAUCAGCUAAAGAAAAAAAUCUCUAGGGGAAGGGGAGGGAAAAGGACAAAGAAAGAAGAGAAUCCCUAGGGAAUAGGGAAGGAAGAGAGAAGAGAAGGAAGAGAACAGAAGAAAUGAAGCAGCAAAAGAAAUAAAAAGUGUUGUUGUAUAGCGAUGACAGAUCUGGUAGAGGUAUUCCAAGGGGGACUAGAAGGUUAGAGAAGGGAGAUACUGGACAAUAAUAAUUAAGGUGUAGUGGAGAAGAAGAAAAGUGCAGAAGAGGAGGAGAGGUAUGGGAACUAGAGGGGCGGAGAGCUUUUUGCACGGUGGCCCGGCGAGAGGUGGCGGAAGCCAUAGCAACCGAGAGGGUUGUCACGCUCGGUCCUGUACCUAGUUCGAGGAGUUGUGCCAAGCUUGGAUUUUUAUCCGACGGCAAAAGGCACAGUAAUCCGUCCACGCCGCGGCUCGUGUUAGCGCCAGAGCUUCGCGAGCCCCAGUCAUUGCAGCCGGUACUACCGUCGGAGUCGCAACACUGCUCUGUUUCAUAGAAAGGCCUUCUCUACACCUUUGUCUCCGAGAUCCCCUUCUAAAUUUGCCCUCUUCAAGAACUUCUCCAAGAGUCGUUGCCGGAUUUGUUCGCAAAGCCCGAAGGUGAGCUAGGGGACGCCGGUGUUUAAGGCGGAGUGUUCCCACACCUUCCACUGCCACUUCCCCUGUAUUACUGCCGACGUCAAGAGCCACAACCAUCUCAGCUGCUUGUGUGUUGCACUGCCUAGCUCCAGGAAUCCUUCCUCUUGGUCAUGAACCGCCGUGACGAAGACACAGAGCGAAGGAUGGUUGGUGAGGCAGAUAACCGGAAUCCGGAAUCCCAAUCGGAGAACCUAUGGCGGAGGUAGAAGCGGUACAACCCAAGGUAGUGAGAAAUGGUUUGGCGUGAACAAAGCCGUGAGGAGACGCUGCUAGUAAACCGAGCGGUCAUGAGGGGACGUCGUUAUUCGCGAGUGGCCGUGAGGAGACCUGUGUUUUGGCCAAUUGCGUAGGACUAUCGGCGACUCGCGAGGUUGAGGACAGGACGUGAGAGAUGACGAGAAGGAAAGAAUGGUGUUCCGCCCGAUUUUGGGUGGAUAAAAAUUUGUUAACAAUUCAAUCGGUGGAUGGAUUCAUAAAUCCAUCCUUCGACUAUUUCAAAGUAAGUAAACAAGGGAAACGAUUAAUAGUC